RNAcentral lists this long non-coding RNA (698 nucleotides) under Carassius auratus (goldfish). RNAcentral describes it as "lncRNA (ENSCARG00000021818.1)". Lineage: Eukaryota; Metazoa; Chordata; Actinopteri; Cypriniformes; Cyprinidae. The record is from RNAcentral.
UAGUUUAAAAAUAUCUUUUAUUGAACCCAAGCUCAGAAUGUGGAGUGUGCUCUUGAUGAUUUAAUAGUGCAGUGAAAGCCCAGCGCUGCAGGAGAAGAUCAACAUCUGCUUCUACAAACCGCAUCUUUAGCCCCGCCCACUGAUACUCACUUAGAAGAGGAAAUACGCUUUCUUCCGCACUGUUUAUAUUUCAUCUAGAGUCAGUGGAUGUCAAACGGUUCAGAUCCAUCAUGGAUCACACAUCUGGAGCUGAAGAUUUGUUUCCAGGAUUCAGGAUGAGUCUGAGCCAGAGCUUCAUGGUGUUGCAGUAGGCGUCCUUACUGUCAUCAGUGACCAUGACACAAGUCCAGUUCACUAACAGCCUGUGAGAAUCUCUGUCAUCACUGAAAGUGAGGCCGUCGUCUGCCUCCCCAGAAUUGGCAAUGCCUUCUUGGUAAUCACUACACCUCAAUUAUCCCAAAGCACUGACCAACACUUUUGAAUUCACUCAGAAGAUUUUACUUUGUCUGGAAAGUGGUAAAUUGUCAGCCAGGUUGCAGACCCUCAAGAAUGACUUGAUGUAGAAACUCAUCUGAAAGAAAUCUGCAGGGUAAAGCAUUAUAAAAGGCUAGUUCAAAGUUAUCUCCUUUUGUCUAAGAAAUGACUCAAAAACUUACUGCACGUUCAGCCAAUAGGCCCAAACUACACAAUAUGCCUUU